This 495-nucleotide ribosomal RNA is filed under the name Lodderomyces orthopsilosis. RNAcentral describes it as "eukaryotic LSU rRNA". The stretch from base 186 to 339 matches the Rfam family "5.8S ribosomal RNA". The record is from RNAcentral. Lineage: Eukaryota; Fungi; Ascomycota; Pichiomycetes; Serinales; Debaryomycetaceae.
CGUAACAAGGUUUCCGUAGGUGAACCUGCGGAAGGAUCAUUACAGAAUGAAAGUGCUUAACUGCAUUUUUUUUACACAUGUGUUUUUCUUUUUUUUUGAAAACUUUGCUUUGGUGGGCCCAUGGCCUGCCAGAGAUUAAACUCAACCAAAUUUUUAUUUAAGUCAACUGAUUAACUAAUAGUCAAAACUUUCAACAACGGAUCUCUUGGUUCUCGCAUCGAUGAAGAACGCAGCGAAAUGCGAUAAGUAAUAUGAAUUGCAGAUAUUCGUGAAUCAUCGAAUCUUUGAACGCACAUUGCGCCCUUUGGUAUUCCAAAGGGCAUGCCUGUUUGAGCGUCAUUUCUCCCUCAAACCUUCGGGUUUGGUGUUGAGCGAUACGCUGGGUUUGCUUGAAAGAAAGGCGGAGUAUAAACUAAUGGAUAGGUUUUUUUUCCACUCAUUGGUACAAACUCCAAAAUCUCCAAAUUCGACCUCAAAUCAGGUAGGACUACCCGC